UCACUAGGAAAAUUGACAACUUCUCUAAGUUGGAUGCUGCCAAGCAUUACUCUGAUGCCUUCGUCAUCGGUUGUUUUGAAUGGGGGAACAACAGCAUAGGCUACUUAUCGCUCCAUCUGGACGUUACAGGUUCUUCAACAUUGCCAAAAGGGUGGGCUAGACAUGUGCGAUUCAGCUUGACUGUCGUCAAUCAACUACAAAGCAGCAAAUCAAUAACAAAUG
Pyrus x bretschneideri (Chinese white pear) is the source of this 222-nucleotide long non-coding RNA. RefSeq lists it as uncharacterized. The transcript has 2 exons. NCBI's taxonomy places the organism in Eukaryota, Viridiplantae, Streptophyta, Magnoliopsida, Rosales, Rosaceae. The record is from RefSeq and is a predicted model, not a curated record.